RNAcentral lists this ribosomal RNA (945 nucleotides) under bacterium enrichment culture clone 1.80. RNAcentral describes it as "bacterial SSU rRNA". It matches the Rfam family "Bacterial small subunit ribosomal RNA", at positions 11 to 912 of the family's 1533-position model. The record is from RNAcentral.
GUUUGAUCCUGGCUCAGAACGAACGCUGGCGGCGUGGCUAAGGCAUGCAAGUCGUACGGGAUCACCCGAGUAGCAAUACGAGGGUGGUUUAGUGGCGGACGGGUGAGUAAUGCAUGGGUAACGUGCCUCGAGCUCAGGGAUAGCGUCGGGCCCCGCAAGGGGUCCUUUGCGAAAGUGACGGUAAUACCUGAUGAAGUCGUGGAAUCGCAUGUUUCUACGACCAAAGAUGGGGAUCGCAAGACCUAUCGGCGCGAGAGCGGCCCAUGUCCUAUCAGCUAGUUGGUGAGGUAACGGCUCACCAAGGCAUUGACGGGUAGCCGGCGUGAGAGCGCGACCGGCCACAUCGGGACUGAGACACUGCCCGGACACCUACGGGUGGCUGCAGCAACGAAUAUUCCGCAAUGGGCGCAAGCCUGACGGAGCGACGCCGCGUGGAGGAUGAAGUCCUUCGGGAUGUAAACUUCAAUAGUUUGUCAGGAAGUGAGGCGACCUAAUACGUCGCCGAGUUGACCAGCAAAUGAAAGGGACGGCUAACUCCGUGCCAGCAGCCGCGGUAAGACGGAGGUCCCUAGCGUUGUUCGGAAUUACUGGGCUUAAAGCGCGUGUAGGCGGAAUGGUGAGUACCUUGUGAAAUCCCCGGUCUCAACCCGGGAAUUGCUGGGUAUACUAUCAUUCUUGAGGCAGGUAGGGGUCACUGGAACCUUAGGUGGAGCGGUGAAAUGCGUAGAUAUCUAAGGGAACGCCUGUGGCGAAAGCGAUUUUCUGGAUCGUUUCUGACGCUCAGACGCGAAAGCUAGGGUAGCAAACGGGAUUAGAGACCCCGGUAGUCCUAGCCGUAAACGAUGUGAACUUGGCGUCGUGGCUUAAACUCCAUCGGUGCCGAAGCCAACGCGAUAAGUUCACCGCCUGGGGACUACGACCGCAAGGUUAAACUCAAAGGAAUUG